AUGCUCGCUCCAGUGCUAGUGAUUUGUUCUGCCAGAAAAUGCUUGCUACAGUUCAAUAAUGGAGGGAGGAAACAGCUGGUCUGCACAUUCGUGAGUGAACAGCAUUUAAUAAGCUUCCAGGGCACAAAAGAAGAAAUGAUGCAACUUGAGGUGGAUCUUGGUGAGGAAGCAAUGCAGCAUGGCAUGAAUUGCCUGCCCCUAUCUGGAAAUCACUUGUGUGAGGUUGCUCCUGGAAUUGCACAUUUUUCAUGGAAGGAACCAAUUAAUCUUUCCCAGUGUUACUGCAGUGCUAUUUACUAUGCUCUGGUGAUCCAUCAUUUGCCCUUCUUUGGCUGCUCCAAUGCGAAUUGUCAUAAUUGUUAUGGCAGCAUGCCUGAAAGUAGGAAUUACCAUCUCAGUGGAGCAGUGGGACACACCAUGUAA
Molecule: long non-coding RNA, 423 nt
Filed under: Cairina moschata (Muscovy duck)
Lineage: Eukaryota; Metazoa; Chordata; Aves; Anseriformes; Anatidae
Description: domestica (muscovy Duck (domestic type)) lncRNA (ENSCMMG00000004730.1)
Source: RNAcentral